This is a long non-coding RNA of Gossypium raimondii (Peruvian cotton), 2639 nucleotides long. RefSeq lists it as uncharacterized. NCBI's taxonomy places the organism in Eukaryota, Viridiplantae, Streptophyta, Magnoliopsida, Malvales, Malvaceae. The record is from RefSeq and is a predicted model, not a curated record. The transcript has 3 exons.
UCCUUUUAUUGGCCAAUUCGUGGGAGGAAAGGUAGCUAUGGAAAUAUACAAAAACAAUUUCUUCUUCUCUUAAUUCUUUAUUCUACCUCUCUUUCUUGCUUUCAUCUUUCUUCUUCCUGGAAUUUUUCCUUCAAACCUUCAUUCCUCACCAAAGGUAUCAAAGCUAAACGAUUCUCAUGGCGAAUGACAGAGUCACGACACAAUUGCAAAAGGAAUUGGGGUUUCUAUAACAUAAGCUUUCCCAGCUUGACAACAAGCUCGAUACUAAACUAGAAAUGAAGUUGGACUCUUGUUUCAAGGAAUUUCGUGAGGAUUUUAAAGGGGAAAUACAAUGGGAAAUUAGAGCUGAGAUGCACUCAAUUUUUGAGCAGUAUUUUGGACUACCUUCAACCAUUAUUCAUGGAGGGGUCUCGAAUAGAGGUAAGGGACUUCUGGGAGCACCGCCACCAGGAUUUCCACCCAAGGAUAGCCUAGUUAUGUCACCAGUUAUAGAUCUCGAACACACGGGUACUUACUCUCGAGCAAGCUUAGGAGAUCUUUUGGGAAGAGGGUUCCAACUUACUUGCCCUUGAUUUGAUGGAACGAACUUUCAGGGAUGGUCCAAGCUGAAGCAGUUUUUCGAAGCUGAAAACGUGGAAGAUUCAGCUAAGGUUCGAAUCAUGAUGUUGCAUCUGUAGGGAAGGGCCCUGGAGUGGCGCCAUUUCUUUUUUCAACAAUACGGUGGCAUUCGACAAUUGACUUAGGAGGCGUAUGCGCGAGCCUUGCAGGAGAGAUUCGUAUCCCGUAGGUACUUGGAGACCCAAUGACUAAGUUGGUGGCUCUUAAACAAACAAGUAUGACCGACUAAUAUUAUGACCAGUUUGUGAGCCUUUUGAAUCAAUUAAGUUUACUUGGAAUUUAUGCCUUGAUCAUUUUUAUGAAUAAUCUCAAACCCGAUAUUGGUCAGUAUUUGCGAUUAUUCAAGCUAACCACCUUGAUAGAAGCUUUCACUAGUGCUAUUGAAGUGGAGGAUAUAGUCGGCAUUGUUACUAAGAAAAAUACUCCUAUAGGAGGGAACUUUAGCUCCCCUAAGCCUUUAUUGCCUCUAGUUAAAGGAUACAACUCUCACACUAUACCAGGAGUUCAUUCUUCCAACAAUUCUCAUGCAAAAACUCCAGUUAAAGCUUUUUCAUAGGUUGAGAUGGAAGACAGAAGAAAAAAGGGACUAUGUUUUUUGUAUCCCUCCAAAUACACACCAGGGCAUAAAUGUGCCAAGUCUCAAAUCUAUCAAUUGGUGAUUGAAGCCUUGGUUGAGCUGGAUAAUGAACUUAAGAGCCUUACUUCUAAUGAGUUUCAAGAUUUCCCCGAGAAGUUAGAAGUGACUGAAGUUGAAGUUGAGUUAGUAGCUUCUGUUCUGUCUUUGCAUGCCCUUAAUGGUUCUCAGGGUCACAACACAACGCGAUUAUUAGCUCGAAUUGGUCCAUGUGAGACCAUUAUUUUGGUAGAUUCGGGCAGUACUCACAAUUUUAUGGACUGCAAACUGGUGAAGCAACUACAUCUACAUGUGGAUCCUUCUUGUAAGCUUAAAGUGAUGGUUGCUAAUGAUGUGCAAUUAGCUACUCAGGGUGUCAGUUGUCUGGUGAAAUGUGAGGCGUAAGGGUGUCAAAUCUCCACUGAUUUUAUGGUGCUUCCAGUAAAAGGUUGUGAUUUAGUUCUUGGUGUCUAAUGGCUUCACUCAUUGGGGUUAAUUAUCUGGAAUUUCUUUUUUCUUACAAUGUAGGUUGAGUAUUUAGGGACGUCUUGUACUUUCCAAAGUAUUCUUCCUGAGGGUCUACAUGUUUUUUCUGGUGCUCAAAUUUCUAAAUACUUCAAUGUGAUGGGACAGGGCCUCACUCUCAUGUUGUUGACUAGUUCUAUCCAAACUACUCUGACCUUACCAUCACAGACUAUGCACAAAGAUAUUGAAUUGCUCUUAAAUAAAUUUGAGGAUGUGUUCUAACUUCCUAAAGGCGUUCCUCUUGUCAGAUUUCAGGACUAUAAGAUACCCGUUCAAGAUGAGACUCAGGUGGUCAAGGUCCAUCCAUAUAGGUGAAACUUUUGAGAUGAUCAUUCCUGUAACAACCUAGUUCCUGUUAGUAAUUGUGGAUUCUUUAAGGGUACUGAAAUUGCUAUUGUGGUGUUGGCAUCGAACAAUGGUCAGGUGUGUAAUGAAAAUCUUAAAAAAUAGUGAACGACGCAAAGCCAAAAAGUGGACCGUCGAUGCCACAUGACCGUGUGGUAGGCUGUGUGCCAGACCAUGUGGUUCACACAGUCAAGGUCAAUUAGGUUGAGUGGGCCACACGGAUGUGUGUGCCCAUUUUCUGAAAAUUUUCAUUUAGGCCUGAUUUGAUCUGUGAAUUGUAAUUAGUCUAUCCGUAGGGUCCAUACCGCUUAAAUAAGACUUGAAAACAAGGUAUUUGUGAAUAUACUUUUGUAUGAGAUGUGUGUAAGGUGUGUGACUUAUACAUGUAGGAUUCGUAGGGUCCAUUCUUUUAUUUUAUGUUAUUGUACGUUAGCAUGUCCUACAUGCUUAUCAUUCUAACUAUGUAUAUGCAUGCCAUGACAUGUUGCAUGAGAUUUGGGAUGAUGUUGAAAGGAGGAAGAUUCUGACAGUUUAAUGA